This 72-nucleotide transfer RNA is filed under the name Bos taurus (domestic cattle). It matches the Rfam family "tRNA". From Rfam's summary of the family: Transfer RNA (tRNA) molecules are approximately 80 nucleotides in length. Their secondary structure includes four short double-helical elements and three loops (D, anti-codon, and T loops). Lineage: Eukaryota; Metazoa; Chordata; Mammalia; Artiodactyla; Bovidae. RNAcentral also lists the same sequence under 3 other names. The record is from Rfam by way of RNAcentral.
UCCCUGAUAGCUCAGUUGGUAAAGAAUCUGCCUGCAAUGCAGGAGAUCCUGGUUUGAUUCCUGGUUGGGGAA